RNAcentral lists this unclassified non-coding RNA (321 nucleotides) under Hevea brasiliensis (rubber tree). Lineage: Eukaryota; Viridiplantae; Streptophyta; Magnoliopsida; Malpighiales; Euphorbiaceae. The record is from RNAcentral.
AUACAAUCCCUCAUCGUCAGAAAGCUCAUCAAAUGACCGGAUAUCUAGCUGGUAACGCAAGAUACCACCAAUGCCACCGAAUCCUCUACAAAACUGAGAUCCCUCUUGAGAUUUAUUAGUGACAAACUCAAGCGAGCAACCAAACUUCUUGUAUUCAUUAGCAAACCAUUCCAGAAGAGACAUUUUUUCCUGAACUUCCAACUCAGCAUUACUAGCCGGAUCACGGAAAUUACUCUGGUCAGCUUCCUGCUCUUUGUUAAAAUGUUUGAUCACAGUUUCACCAGAUGCACUGUUCUUAAGCACAUAUCUGUUGGUUUCAAG